RNAcentral lists this ribosomal RNA (526 nucleotides) under uncultured bacterium. Its description in RNAcentral is "bacterial SSU rRNA". It matches the Rfam family "Bacterial small subunit ribosomal RNA", at positions 39 to 655 of the family's 1533-position model. The record is from RNAcentral.
GCGGCGUGCCUAACACAUGCAAGUCGAACGAAGUGGCGGACGGGUGAGUAACACGUGAGCAACCUGCCUUUCAGAGGGGGAUAACGGCUGGAAACGGUCGCUAAUACCGCAUGCUGAAAGAUGGGCUCGCGUCUGAUUAGAUAGUUGGUGGGGUAACGGCCUACCAAGUCUACGAUCAGUAGCCGGACUGAGAGGUUGAACGGCCACAUUGGGACUGAGAUACGGCCCAGACUCCUACGGGAGGCAGCAGUGGGGAAUAUUGCACAAUGGGGGAAACCCUGAUGCAGCAACGCCGCGUGAAGGAUGACGGUUUUCGGAUUGUAAACUUCUUUUCUUAGUGACGCGGUAGCUAAGGAAUAAGCAUCGGCUAACUACGUGCCAGCAGCCGCGGUAAUACGUAGGGAGCGAGCGUUGUCCGGAAUUAUUGGGUGUAAAGGGUGCGUAGGCGGCUAUGUAAGUCAGGCGUGUAAUUCAGAGGCUUAACCUCUUGACGGCGCUUGAAACUGUGUAGCUUGAGUGGAGUAGA